AUUGAACGCUGGCGGCAUGCUUACACAUGCAAGUCGAACGGCAGCACGGGAGCAAUCNGGUGGCGAGUGGCGAACGGGUGAGUAAUGUAUCGGAACGUACCUUUCAGUGGGGGAUAACGUAGCGAAAGUUACGCUAAUACCGCAUAUUCUGUGAGCAGGAAAGCAGGGGAUCGCAAGACCUUGCGCUGAUUGAGCGGCCGAUAUCAGAUUAGCUAGUUGGUGAGGUAAAGGCUCACCAAGGCGACGAUCUGUAGCGGGUCUGAGAGGAUGAUCCGCCACACUGGAACUGAGACACGGUCCAGACUCCUACGGGAGGCAGCAGUGGGGAAUUUUGGACAAUGGGGGCAACCCUGAUCCAGCCAUGCCGCGUGAGUGAAGAAGGCCUUCGGGUUGUAAAGCUCUUUCAGCCGGGAAGAAAUCACAUGGGUUAAUACCCUGUGUGGAUGACGGUACCGGAAUAAGAAGCACCGGCUAACUACGUGCCAGCAGCCGCGGUAAUACGUAGGGUGCGAGCGUUAAUCGGAAUUACUGGGCGUAAAGCGUGCGCAGGCGGUUUGUUAAGAUAGGCGUGAAAUCCCCGGGCUCAACCUGGGAACUGCGUUUAUGACUGGCAGGCUAGAGUAUGGCAGAGGGGGGUGGAAUUCCACGUGUAGCAGUGAAAUGCGUAGAGAUGUGGAGGAACACCGAUGGCGAAGGCAGCCCCCUGGGCCAAUACUGACGCUCAUGCACGAAAGCGUGGGUAGCAAACAGGAUUAGAUACCCUGGUAGUCCACGCCCUAAACGAUGUCAACUAGGUGUUGGGUGGGUAAAACCAUUUAGUACCGGAGCUAACGCGUGAAGUGA
RNAcentral lists this ribosomal RNA (843 nucleotides) under uncultured bacterium. RNAcentral's name for it is "bacterial SSU rRNA". It matches the Rfam family "Bacterial small subunit ribosomal RNA", at positions 28 to 868 of the family's 1533-position model. The record is from RNAcentral.